GACGAACGCUGGCGGCGUGCCUAAUACAUGCAAGUAGAACGCUGAAGGAGGAGCUUGCUUCUCCGGAUGAGUUGCGAACGGGUGAGUAACGCGUAGGUAACCUGCCUGGUAGCGGGGGAUAACUAUUGGAAACGAUAGCUAAUACCGCAUAAGAGUAGAUGUUGCAUGACAUUUGCUUAAAAGGUGCAAUUGCAUCGCUACCAGAUGGACCUGCGUUGUAUUAGCUAGUUGGUGGGGUAACGGCUCACCAAGGCGACGAUACAUAGCCGACCUGAGAGGGUGAUCGGCCACACUGGGACUGAGACACGGCCCAGACUCCUACGGGAGGCAGCAGUAGGGAAUCUUCGGCAAUGGACGGAAGUCUGACCGAGCAACGCCGCGUGAGUGAAGAAGGUUUUCGGAUCGUAAAGCUCUGUUGUAAGAGAAGAACGAGUGUGAGAGUGGAAAGUUCACACUGUGACGGUAUCUUACCAGAAAGGGACGGCUAACUACGUG
Molecule: ribosomal RNA, 495 nt
Filed under: uncultured bacterium
Lineage: Bacteria
Description: partial 16S ribosomal RNA
Rfam family: Bacterial small subunit ribosomal RNA
Source: RNAcentral